CCUACGGGAGGCAGCAGUGAGGAAUAUUGGUCAAUGGACGCAAGUCUGAACCAGCCAUGCCGCGUGCAGGAAGACGGCUCUAUGAGUUGUAACCUGCUUUUGUACGAGGGUAAACGCAGAUACGCGUAUCUGUCUGAAAGUAUCGUACGAAUAAGGAUCGGCUAACUCCGUGCCAGCAGCCGCGGUAAUACGGAGGAUUCAAGCGUUAUCCGGAUUUAUUGGGUUUAAAGGGUGCGUAGGCGGUCGGAUAAGUUAGAGGUGAAAUCCCGAGGCUCAACUUCGGAAUUGCCUCUGAUACUGGUCGGCUAGAGAGUAGUUGCGGUAGGCGGAAUGUAUGGUGUAGCGGUGAAAUGCUUAGAGAUCAGACAGAACACCGGUUGCGAAGGCAGCUUACCAAGCUACUUCUGACGUUGAGGCACGAAAGCGUGGGGAGCAAACAGGAUUAGAUACCCCUGUAGUC
Molecule: ribosomal RNA, 460 nt
Filed under: uncultured bacterium
Lineage: Bacteria
Description: partial 16S ribosomal RNA
Rfam family: Bacterial small subunit ribosomal RNA
Source: RNAcentral